CUAUCUUCGUAGCUUUUGGCUGAAUAUCUUGUCCACAUAGGUGAGUUUCCAAUGGAGCUAGAAUUACUCUUGGAUUUUGGUGUGGUUUCAGAUUCGACUAACCAGUUUGAAAGGCUGGUAUCUACCGCAAUCUCAUCCUCGGCGUGCUUUGAAUCGCUACGAGUUUCUUUCAACUUUCUCCUUGAACAAAAAGUAGGCUCCGG
Molecule: unclassified non-coding RNA, 203 nt
Filed under: Hevea brasiliensis (rubber tree)
Lineage: Eukaryota; Viridiplantae; Streptophyta; Magnoliopsida; Malpighiales; Euphorbiaceae
Source: RNAcentral